RNAcentral lists this ribosomal RNA (303 nucleotides) under Pseudomonas aeruginosa. RNAcentral describes it as "partial 16S ribosomal RNA". It matches the Rfam family "Bacterial small subunit ribosomal RNA", at positions 1231 to 1533 of the family's 1533-position model. Lineage: Bacteria; Pseudomonadati; Pseudomonadota; Gammaproteobacteria; Pseudomonadales; Pseudomonadaceae. The record is from RNAcentral.
UGGUCGGUACAAAGGGUUGCCAAGCCGCGAGGUGGAGCUAAUCCCAUAAAACCGAUCGUAGUCCGGAUCGCAGUCUGCAACUCGACUGCGUGAAGUCGGAAUCGCUAGUAAUCGUGAAUCAGAAUGUCACGGUGAAUACGUUCCCGGGCCUUGUACACACCGCCCGUCACACCAUGGGAGUGGGUUGCUCCAGAAGUAGCUAGUCUAACCGCAAGGGGGACGGUUACCACGGAGUGAUUCAUGACUGGGGUGAAGUCGUAACAAGGUAGCCGUAGGGGAACCUGCGGCUGGAUCACCUCCUUA